This 28-nucleotide non-coding RNA is filed under the name Cricetulus griseus (Chinese hamster). Lineage: Eukaryota; Metazoa; Chordata; Mammalia; Rodentia; Cricetidae. The record is from RNAcentral.
UUAAUCUGCUGUGUUCUCCCUGAAGGUU